UACGUAGGGUGCAAGCGUUGCCCGGAUUUAUUGGGCGUAAAGAGCGUGUAGGCGGCCAGACAGGUCCGUUGUGAAAACUAGAGGCUUAACCUCUAGACGUCGAUGGAAACCGUCUGGCUAGAGUCCGGAAGAGGAGAAUGGAAUUCCUGGUGUAGCGGUGAAAUGCGCAGAUAUCAGGAAGAACACCCGUGGCUAAGGCGGUUCUCUAGUACGGUACUGACGCUGAGACGCGAAAGCGUGGGGAGCGAACAGG
Molecule: ribosomal RNA, 253 nt
Filed under: uncultured bacterium
Lineage: Bacteria
Description: partial 16S ribosomal RNA
Rfam family: Bacterial small subunit ribosomal RNA
Source: RNAcentral